This 448-nucleotide ribosomal RNA is filed under the name uncultured bacterium. Its description in RNAcentral is "SSU rRNA". It matches the Rfam family "Bacterial small subunit ribosomal RNA", at positions 26 to 518 of the family's 1533-position model. The record is from RNAcentral.
AGAGCGAACGCUGGCGGCAGGCCUAACACAUGCAAGUCGAGCGCCCGUAGCAAUACGGGAGCGGCAGACGGGAUAGUAACACGUGGGAACGCGCCCUUCGGUUCGGAAUAACUCAGGGAAACUUGAGCUAAUACCGGAUACGCCCUUACGGGGAAAGAUUUAUUGCCGAAGGAACGGCCCGCGUCCGAUUAGCUAGUUGGUGAGGUAAUGGCUCACCAAGGCGACGAUCGGUAGCUGGUCUGAGAGGAUGACCAGCAUCACUGGGACUGAGACACGGCCCAGACUCCUACGGGAGGCAGCAGUGGGGAAUAUUGGACAAUGGGCGCAAGCCUGAUCCAGCCAUGCCGCGUGAGUGAUGACGGCCUUAGGGUUGUAAAGCUCUUUCGCUAGGGACGAUAAUGACGGUACCUAGACAAGAAGCCCCGGCUAACUUCGUGCCAGCAGCCGC